CAGUAGGCGAAGGCGACUAUCUGGCUCAAAACUGACGCUGAGGGACGAAAGUAUGGGUAUCAAAUGGGAUUAGAGACCCCAGUAGUCCAUACCGUAAACGAUGAGUGUUUUGGAUUCGGGUCCGAAAAAUUUAAUAGCCAGUAAUUUCAUGUAAAUUAGAGGCGGACAAGUGCCAAGGUUGAUUACCUAUAUACGGUAUCUUAUCCUUAAUGAUUAGGUUUGAUCAGGUAAUUUUGAGAAAAAAUAUAACCAUUCUUAUUGCUAGACAAUUAUAGGAUUCCGAGUACAAAAAUUAUAUAUUUUUAAUAAGCUAACGCGUUAAACACUCCGCCUGGGGAGUACAGUCGCAAGACCGAAACUCAAAGGAAUUGACGGGGGCUCACACAAGCGGUGGGGUAUGUGGUUUAAUGCGAUGAUACGCGCAAAACCUUACCAGCUCUUGCAUCUGACAUGUUGAUGAAAUAGAUUUCAUCUUAAUAAAGUCAGACAGGUGUUGCAUGGCUGUCGUCAGCUCGUGUUGUGAAAUGUUUGGUUAAUUCCCUUAACGAGCGAAACCCUUGUGGUUAGAAGGGCUUUUUGAUAUAAAGAAAGCUAUUUAAUCCUACUGCCAUUAAUAAAUUAGAGGAGGGUGAGGAUGACGUCAAGUCCGCAUGGCCCUUAUGGGCUGGGCUACACACAUGCUACAAUGGCAAUUACAAUGAGAAGCAAUGGUGCGAGCCGGAGCAAUCUAUAACUGUUGCCUUAGUUCGGAUUGUAGGCUGCAACUCGCCUACAUGAAGUUGGAAUCGCUAGUAAUCGUAGAUCAGAACGCUACGGUGAAUUUGUACCUGGGCUUUGUACACACCGCCCGUCACACUCUGGAAGUUGUUCUUAAUUGAAGCUUAUAACCUAACCUUUUUGGAGGGUGUAUGUGAGAUUGAGGGGAGCGACUGGAGUGAAGUCGUAACAAGGUAGCUGUAGGGGAACCUGCUGCU
This 974-nucleotide ribosomal RNA is filed under the name metagenome. RNAcentral describes it as "bacterial SSU rRNA". It matches the Rfam family "Bacterial small subunit ribosomal RNA", at positions 708 to 1519 of the family's 1533-position model. The record is from RNAcentral.